GACGAACGCUGGCGGCGUGCUUAACACAUGCAAGUCGAACGGAAAGGCCCUGCUUUUGUGGGGUGCUCGAGUGGCGAACGGGUGAUUAACACGUGAGUAACCUGCCCUUGACUUUGGGAUAACUUCAUGAAACUGGGGCUAAUACCUGAUAGGAGCUCCUGCUGCAUGGUGGGUGUUGUAAAGUUUCGGCGGUUGGGGAUGGACUCGCGGCUUAUCAGCUUGUUGGUGGGGUAGUGGCUUACCAAGGCUUUGACGGGUAGCCGGCCUGAGAGGGGGACCGGCCACAUAGGGACAGAGAGACGCCGCAGAGACUUACGGGAGGCAGAAGUGUGGAGAAUUGAACAAAGGGCGGAAGAGUGAUGCAGAAAAGCAGCGUGCGAGAGGAGGGGCUUCGGGGUGUAAACCGCUUUCGCCUGUGAGGAAGCGAGAGUGACGGUAAUGGGUAAAGAAGCACCGGCUAACUACGUG
This 468-nucleotide ribosomal RNA is filed under the name uncultured bacterium. RNAcentral's name for it is "partial 16S ribosomal RNA". It matches the Rfam family "Bacterial small subunit ribosomal RNA", at positions 28 to 507 of the family's 1533-position model. The record is from RNAcentral.